CCUAUUUUAAUUGUACUGUUGUUGCUUUUUUCUGUUUUUUGGCAGCCCUGCUGCAUCUCAUCUCGGAGCCAGGGAUGAGGUGUGAGCUGCAGUUGCAACCUCUGUCGCAGCUGUGCAACGCUAGAUCCUUUAACCUAUUGUGCCAGGCCAGGGAUCGAACCUGUGUCCUGUCAUGGCAGAGAGGCCACCAGUCCCAUUGUGCCACAGCGGGAACUCUGAGAACUCCUAUUUUAAUUUUUUAUAAUUAUUCUCUGUCAUUAUCCUAAGUUAAAUAUUUACAUUAAGAGGCAGGAGACCUUUUGUUUCUAAAGACCAGCCCAGUUCUAACAUUCUAGAAUUCCUUGAGGCCCCUGCCAUCUCUGGGGGCGUCUGAGGAGGAGACAGAGGCCUGAGGGAUGGUGGGAGGGCCUGGGGACUUGAAGCUCUUAGAGGCUGCUACUCCCCCCUCCCUCAACACACGCACACAGCCUCUGCCUUCCACCUCCCCACUACCCCUUCCUACCAUCUCAGUGGCUUUUCUAGCCUCUCUAAUUACCAGGAAUAUAGAGGGCGACUUAUGUUCUGUUUAGACCAAAAAAAAGGAGUCCAAGGCCCACAAAUGCCUGCCUCAAGGAGGGUGAUUUCCGAAUGGCACCCUGGGAGGGGCAGUGAGUGAGCAGGGUAGGGGCCAGGCCUGAUGUAGGGUGCAGCCUGACCGGGCGGCCCCAGUCGUUUUAUGAAGCCGUAGGAUUCAGGGGCACGUUCCCCAAAGUGUAAAACAGGAACCAGCCCUGACCAGGCAGUGGCCACAUGCACGUCAGGUGCUUUGUGGGCUUUACCAGGGAAAGAGGUGCCACCCCAGAUGAGUCGCAGCUCCCAGAUGAGAAGGGAUUGUGUAACCUGCCCUCACACACCACCUGAGUGAGGAUCUGGUGCUCUGGACACAGUCCAGCACAUUCCAUGCUGCACCAGGAGCUAUGUGAGGGGACAUAGGAGAAGUGGGGGCCCAGGGCCCAUUGGCCUUUGCCUGGUUUCUUGGCUUCCACUAUCAAAGGCAUCACCAGGAGUUCCCGUGGUGGCUCAGCAGUAAUGAACCCAACCAGUAUCCAUGAGGAUGCAGGUUCAAUCCCUGGCCUUGUUCAGUGAGUUAAUGAUCCAGCGUGGCCGUGAGCUGUGGUGUAGGUCACAGACAUGGCUUGGAUCCCACAUGGCUGUGGCUGUGGUAUAGGCCAGCACCUGCAGCUCCGAUUCGAUCCGUAGCCUGGGAACUUCCAUAUGCUGAAGGUGUGGCCCUAAAAAGACAAAAAGGCAUUACUGACGAGGCUAGUGAUCGGGUGGUCAGAGAACUUUAGCUCUGUCCCUGAGAAGGGCUGAUGGGGUGGGGCGAUUUAGGGUGUUCCUUAGGGAUGGGGCAGGGAGAGCAGGUUCUCUGAGGAGCCACUAGACUGAUGAUCCGUGUGUCAGGACAAACCCAGCCAGUUGUGAGAAGUGCUCAGGAGGUAGGUGUGGGCUCAGCACCAGAACUUCCACUCACAGAGCUGUCCAGAACGGAGCCAGCUGCUCUGGGCGCCCCCUCUCAGGGCUGUGCAGGCCCAGGCGUGGGGCCACCAUCAGAGGGAGGGGCUGUGGACCCUGGGCAGAAUGACCAGCCUGGUGGUCUUCCCAGAGAUCCUGCAAUGAUGGUAACAGUAGCCAAGCUGAGCACCGCCUGUGUGCACACGUCAUCUCAUUUCCCUCUGAGAAGGUAUAGUUAUUAUACUUAUGUUAUUUGAGAAAACUGAGACCCUAAUCACUUAAGCAACUUGCCCAAUCUCAUGCCUCAGGGAAGCAGCCAGACUGGCACUGAACCCAUCUGUGUGUCUGCAGAGCCUGCAUUCUUAUCUAAGACCCAGCCUGCUUCCAGCUGUCUGGGGAUCUGUGGUCCUAAAAGGAUUAGGAUGCCAGGAGCCCAAGAUAAGCAGACCAAUGGGAGAUAGCAUCCUUCUUUCCGGAGGCGUCGGUAUUUUUUCCAGGGCUCCAUCUGACAGUCAUAAGAUUUACAGACUUUUCCCUUCUUAGGAAGCAGAUCAGGAAACUUGUCCCCCUAACUAAGUGGCCACAGCCCCUAAAGACAUGGACAUCUAAAAGCAGCUCUGCUGGUCACACCCCAGCAAUGACAGACUUGGGAUUUUUAAGAGACUGGCACUAAUUAAAGGAGAAUGCUGCAGAGAAGGCCAUGACCUCAACAACCACCGCUCACCUCCCACACAGCACGGUGCUUGAGGGGCCAUUUUUCCUUCUCACAAUCAGCAGGGUUGAAAGGACCUACAUCCAAAAUGUUCAAAUUCCCAUUUUCAAACUUCAGAUCAUAUAAUUGGGAAAUUUUUGCCCAGAAAGAUUGAUGUGUGGGAUGCUACCAUCAAGCAUUAGGCAUCUCAUGGAGGGCCCACUGUGCUGCGAUGGACGACGGCGUCUCUGCAGCUCUUGGACACAGGUUCAAUCCCCAGCCCCACAAAAUGGGAUAAGGAUCCAGCAUUGCCGCAGCUAUGGUGUACGUUGCAACUGUGACUCUGAUUUGAUCCCUGGCCCUGGAACUCCAUAUACUGCAGGCUCAAAAGAAAAAAAAAAAAAAAAAGCAUCUGAUGUUCUUAUUUAAGUCUCACAAGAGUCACCUGAGGUGAGGAAACUGAGCUACAUGAAAGAAUCCCUUACUUUCCCAAGGUCACGAAGUUAUUAAGCGGUGGAGGUGGAAUUUGAAUCCAGAUCUGCUGAAGUCCAGAGCAGAGCCGAGAACCUCUGAGCUGCAGGAGGAAGCCCAGUAGGUAAAACGGCAUGCUGAGCUGCCUUGGUUUGGCAUCUGAGACUGUUCCCUGUGCCCUGCGGAGUCCUUGGGGAUCCUGGCCAGCACCAGAGAGCCGUUUGAAAAACUGAAAACAAGUCCCAUGUCCAACAACAGUUGAAUGCAUGUCACUUUGUGGUACAGCCAUUCAAUGCAACACUACUCAGUGAUACGAAGAAAUAAAUUAUUGAUACCUCAGUAACAUGGGUGAAUUUCCAAGUUGUUGUGCUGAGUGGAAAAAGCCAGACAAAAAUGAGUUCAUCCUGUAUUAUCAUAUUUACAUAAAAAUCUAGGAGCGGCAAACUAAUUGACAGUAGCAGAAAGCAGAUGUGUGGGAGUGGGAGUGGCGGGAGGGGUGGGAAGAAAUUAGCAAGGAGCCCGAGGGAACUUUCCGAGGCAAUUAAGGUCAUCACUCUCUUGUUUGUGUGAUGGUUUCAUGAGUGUGUGGUGUGUGCGCACAUCUUUAAAAAUUACGUAUGGGCUAAAAUCAUGUGCAGUUUAUUGAAUGAAAUUAUACUGCAUUAAUGCCAUUUAAAAAAAAAACACUCAAUAGUCAAAAACUGGUCUUUAACAGGAAGUAGAGACAGGAGGUGAUGUGCUCAAGUUCACCCAGAGCAGAGGAUCCCCUCUGCAGCCCGCACGACCCUGAGCAGUGGACCAAAUGAUGGGCCAUCUCCUGAGUCCAGCCCCCGGCCCUGCCCCCCGCACCCUGGGGACUAGUGUGGCUUCUCGCCAGCCCUGGGGAUGUCAACACUGAGCAACGUCUUGGAUUAAGUACACACGAAAAAAUAUUUGAACAGAACGUGCUCACUGAGUGAUUUUAACUGGCAAGCAGUAAGUGAUUUCUAUGUGUGGCCUCACGUAACCCCCACAACCACCCUGUCAUCACAUCUUUUGCCUAUGGACAUCAAGUGCUUACAGGUGCCAGAGGAACUUGGACUCUGUCCCAGGCAGUGUGUCUUCACGGCUUCUUCCCGUUAUUCCGCCUUAAGAUUUUACAUCCCUUACAUGCAGUUCACUUGACAGACAAAAAGGUUUUCAAGAUAUGGGGUCUAAGGCAUCCCCUGGUAGCCUAGCAGUUAAGGAUCUGGCGUUGUCAUGGCUGUGGCUCAGGUUCAGUCUCUGGCCUAGCAAUUUCUGCAUGCCACGCGGGCGGCCAAAAAAAAAAAAAAAAAUUUAUGUGUGUGUGUGUAUAAUAUAUCUAAGAAAGUAGCACAAAGAAAAGGGAUUGCCAAUCUGACCUAACAUCUCCACGUACAGAGGAGGAAAAGUGAGGCC
Sus scrofa (pig) is the source of this 4075-nucleotide non-coding RNA. The record is from RefSeq and is a predicted model, not a curated record. NCBI's taxonomy places the organism in Eukaryota, Metazoa, Chordata, Mammalia, Artiodactyla, Suidae.